RNAcentral lists this ribosomal RNA (1529 nucleotides) under Bacillus altitudinis. Its description in RNAcentral is "bacterial SSU rRNA". It matches the Rfam family "Bacterial small subunit ribosomal RNA". The record is from RNAcentral. Lineage: Bacteria; Bacillati; Bacillota; Bacilli; Caryophanales; Bacillaceae.
AGAGUUUGAUCCUGGCUCAGGACGAACGCUGGCGGCGUGCCUAAUACAUGCAAGUCGAGCGGACAGAAGGGAGCUUGCUCCCGGAUGUUAGCGGCGGACGGGUGAGUAACACGUGGGUAACCUGCCUGUAAGACUGGGAUAACUCCGGGAAACCGGAGCUAAUACCGGAUAGUUCCUUGAACCGCAUGGUUCAAGGAUGAAAGACGGUUUCGGCUGUCACUUACAGAUGGACCCGCGGCGCAUUAGCUAGUUGGUGAGGUAACGGCUCACCAAGGCGACGAUGCGUAGCCGACCUGAGAGGGUGAUCGGCCACACUGGGACUGAGACACGGCCCAGACUCCUACGGGAGGCAGCAGUAGGGAAUCUUCCGCAAUGGACGAAAGUCUGACGGAGCAACGCCGCGUGAGUGAUGAAGGUUUUCGGAUCGUAAAGCUCUGUUGUUAGGGAAGAACAAGUGCAAGAGUAACUGCUUGCACCUUGACGGUACCUAACCAGAAAGCCACGGCUAACUACGUGCCAGCAGCCGCGGUAAUACGUAGGUGGCAAGCGUUGUCCGGAAUUAUUGGGCGUAAAGGGCUCGCAGGCGGUUUCUUAAGUCUGAUGUGAAAGCCCCCGGCUCAACCGGGGAGGGUCAUUGGAAACUGGGAAACUUGAGUGCAGAAGAGGAGAGUGGAAUUCCACGUGUAGCGGUGAAAUGCGUAGAGAUGUGGAGGAACACCAGUGGCGAAGGCGACUCUCUGGUCUGUAACUGACGCUGAGGAGCGAAAGCGUGGGGAGCGAACAGGAUUAGAUACCCUGGUAGUCCACGCCGUAAACGAUGAGUGCUAAGUGUUAGGGGGUUUCCGCCCCUUAGUGCUGCAGCUAACGCAUUAAGCACUCCGCCUGGGGAGUACGGUCGCAAGACUGAAACUCAAAGGAAUUGACGGGGGCCCGCACAAGCGGUGGAGCAUGUGGUUUAAUUCGAAGCAACGCGAAGAACCUUACCAGGUCUUGACAUCCUCUGACAACCCUAGAGAUAGGGCUUUCCCUUCGGGGACAGAGUGACAGGUGGUGCAUGGUUGUCGUCAGCUCGUGUCGUGAGAUGUUGGGUUAAGUCCCGCAACGAGCGCAACCCUUGAUCUUAGUUGCCAGCAUUCAGUUGGGCACUCUAAGGUGACUGCCGGUGACAAACCGGAGGAAGGUGGGGAUGACGUCAAAUCAUCAUGCCCCUUAUGACCUGGGCUACACACGUGCUACAAUGGACAGAACAAAGGGCUGCGAGACCGCAAGGUUUAGCCAAUCCCACAAAUCUGUUCUCAGUUCGGAUCGCAGUCUGCAACUCGACUGCGUGAAGCUGGAAUCGCUAGUAAUCGCGGGUCAGCAUGCCGCGGUGAAUACGUUCCCGGGCCUUGUACACACCGCCCGUCACACCACGAGAGUUUGCAACACCCGAAGUCGGUGAGGUAACCUUUAUGGAGCCAGCCGCCGAAGGUGGGGCAGAUGAUUGGGGUGAAGUCGUAACAAGGUAGCCGUAUCGGAAGGUGCGGCUG